CCGUUGACCAUAAUCACAAUAAGUUUAAAUGCAGCAAGUUUUACGUUUGACUACAUGAUCCAGUGUUCUUACAGGAAACAAACGUCUCUCCAGUUACAGACAUGGAAAUGGAAUGGAUGAAGAAGAUGGGUGAAAUAACUCACCAUACAAUCAAAACCAACGGAAUAUCGAUGCAUGUUGCAGAAAAAGGCGACGGACCUGUAGUAGUGCUCCUCCUCCAUGGCUUCCCGGAGUUCUGGUUUUCAUGGCGUCAUCAGAUCACUCACUUAAGUAACCAUGGUUACCGUGUCCUCGCACCUGACCUCCGCGGCUAUGGCGAUUCCGACUCUCCAUCCUCUCCCUCUUCCUACACCUUCUUCCACAUAGUCGGUGAUCUCAUCGGCGUUCUAGAUCACUUCAAUCAACAACAGGUACGUCAUUUGUGUGCUUUAAUGGCGAUGAAGCUUUAAUUAGCAUUAGGGUUGAUUUUGUGUACGCAUGAAUAUCAGGUGUUUGUGGUGGGACACGAUUGGGGGGCAACCGCCGCCUGGCAUCUGAGUCUUUUCCGGCCAGAUAGAGUCAGAGGAAUCGUUGCUCUCGCUAUUCCGUUGUUUCCUAGAUCCCCAAUCAGUCCAACUCAGUUAUUCACCAAAUCGUUUGGAGAUAAUUUAUACAUCUCUCAAUUCCAGGUUCUUCUUCUUCUCUUCUUCUUCUUUCUCUCACUGUGUUUACAUGGAGAUGAGUUUCAUAAAGUUCAGGAAAUUGAUACAGGAAUUAGGAAGAGCAGAGAGGGCUUUUGCGAAAUACGAUUGCUUGACUGUAAUCAAAAAGUUUUUGCUUAUCAACGUUGGCGAUGUACUGGUAGCACCUCCUGGAGUGGAGAUUAUCGAUCACCUGCAAAUUCCUUCUUCAUUACCUCCAUGGAUUACUGAAGAUGAGCUUCAAGUGUACGCUGAUAAGUUUCAGGAGACUGGAUUCACUGGAGCUUUAAAUUACUAUCGUGCCAUGGAUCUGUAAGACUGAAAACGUAGAUAUUGGAUUUGAUUUCUACUUUUUUGCAACAGUAAUCGUAUGAAUUGAUUUGAAGGACGUGGGAACUGGAAGCGCCAUGGCAAGGGGCAAAGAUCAAAGUUCCAUCGAAGCUGAUUAUUGGAGACGAAGAUAUUGGAUUUGAAAGCUGGACGAAGGAAUAUGUUGAGGGAGAUGUUAUGAAAGAACUGAUUCCUGAUGUUGAAGUUGUGAUUAUCGAAGGCCACCAUUUUAUUCAACAAGAGAAGCAUCAAGAGGUUUCUGAUCACAUCUUAUCGUUCCUACACAAACUUGCAUGAGUUUGGGUUCUAGGAUCUGUAUACUCUGAUAGUAUUAGUAUACAGAGAGUAUUACUCUCUCUACCACUAAAAAACAAUAUCAAAGCAUAAUAAAUAGUAAUAAAUAAGCUCAUGGACUCCACUUGUUAUUAUUUAUGUAUUAAUUAUGAAAUUGAAAAUUUCGUUAAUUCUUAUUAUUAUCCGGGCCUAAUGUCAUAUCGCGCAACUAACUAUUGGUUUAUUUUUUAGGGUAAAUUACACAGAUGGUCCCUGUGGUUUAGGGUAAUCUGCUAGAUUGGUCCCUAACAACUUUUUUUUAACUCGGACCAUCCCUAAUUUAUUUUUUCGUUACACGCUUGGUCCCCUAACCAUUAUAAAAAGUCUAAUUUACCCUUACUGAUUUCUUUUACCUAUUUUAAAUUAUCAAUUAAUUAAAUGUGGAAAAAGUGUUAAUUAAAAAAAUAUGUUGGUCUGAUUCAAGAACCUACACAACCGAAGCCUCAUCCCCUCCCUUCCUUCCUUGAUUUCAGUCGUCGGAAAAUAUCACUCCUCUCGUCGGAAAAUCUCACAGAUUAACGAUGUCUUCUCCAGAUUAAGGGUAAAAUAGUCUUUUUAUAACGGACAGGGACCAAGCGUGCAACAAAAAUAUAAAUUAGGGACGGUCCGAAUUAAAAAAAGUUGUUAGGGACCAAGCUAGCAGAUUACCCUAAACCACAUGGACCAUCCGUGUAAUUUACCCUAUUUUUUAAAACGUUCUUAAAAUUUUCUUGUUAUUUUCAUUUUAUUUCAAGUUCUAAAAAGCUCGUCAUGGCUCCAAAGCUUGUGCUUGCCACCAAACUUUACUAAAAUGCCGCCUUAACUCAUAUAUGUGUAUAAAAAUGAAUAAUAGUUGAAAAUACAUAUAAAAAUAUUACUUAUGUACAAAAUUGCCGCCUUAAGUCACGCCAUACAAACGACUUAGCUCACCAAGGUUUGUAAAAGUUUCGGGUUUGACAUUGCCGACAAGUUACACCUUAUGUUAUUUGGAACCUUGUUUUAUUUGCAUUCUAAGGGAAUGAAGUCCGGUUUUAUGUUUUAAAAAGUCAUUUUGGUAAAAUUCAAGGUUUCAUUAGAUGAAACCCGAUAUAUGCCACCUCAUUUAAUGGAGUUUGCUAUGUCAUACCUCCAUGUGCCACUAAGACAAUCUCCAACGCAUCUUCAUUUUCCCCCCAUAAAUGGAGUAAAAAAUGGAGUAAAUAGUAUUUCAUUUCCAAUCCUACUCCAUAUUCUACCCCAUUUUUUACCCCAAAAAAUAUAUUCUUAGAAUAUUCCAUUUUUAUAACUUAUAUAUAUUAUCAAAUACAUCCAUCUACUAAUUAAACUCUAUAUUUAUGAUUAAUUAAUAUAAAUUAGUAUAUAUAACAUGAUAUUAUAAAUAUUAAGUAUUGCAUUUAAAUUAUACUUAGUAGAUAAAAUAAACUAGAAAUGUAUAAAAUAAAAAUAAGAUAGACUAAAAUUGGCAACCAAACUUCACCUUUAUUUUUGGAGAUAUGAAUAGUAUUCCUCCAUAUAUGGGGGAAUACUAUUCAUAUCUUCAAAAAUGGAGGUUAAAAUGGGGUAGGGUUGGAGAAGAAAUGAGGGAAGAAAUGGAGAUUGGGGGUGGGUGGGAGAUGCCCUAAGGAUUUAUAUAAUUAAAACUUAUUUAAAAAGCUUCUGAUGAAUAAGUAUCAUUUCUUGUCUUUCUCCUUACUACAAAUCCAUUUUGCUCUACCUUCGUCUAGUUUUGUCUAUAAUGGUUGUGUAUAUGAUGGCUGAUGGUAACUUUCAAGGUAUUUUUUUUUCAAGAUAUCCAUCUUUAAUGUACACUAAUGACAUACAUCAUUUGUUUGAAUAUAUCGAGUUAACGAGGAUGGACAAGAAAUAAUUUUAUGCUUUUUUGUAAAGAUAUACUGCUAGGAGAUGUCUGAAGGUGUAUUAUUUGUUCACCCGAAGAUAAUUUUUCAAAAGGUUAGAACUUUAAAGGAACAGAUUUUGACUACGAUGAGUUAAUUGAUGUUGGUUACAAUUGUGGGUGUGUACUGGAAAUGUAGAUAGACCAUCUUGGGGAUAAUAUGAAGGAGUGGCUACAUUAAGAUCUUCACGAGGACCAUCACUUAAAUGUUAGAGAUGUGAAAGAAGAUCCUUGUCAAAAUUCGGAUUUUCCAGAAGAUGAUGUUAAAGAUCUGGAUUGUGAGGUUGGCCUUAAUGAUGUGACUCCUAUGAACAAGACUAUGAAUGAUCCUUUCCUCAGUAAACUUUACAGUAAGGAGCAUGAGCGGCUCAACUAGUUUGGAAGCUUUAAGCGAACAAAAAAUUAGGGCCCAUUGUCAUUACUAUAAUUAAUGUUAUAAAUUAAAUCCUCCUCCUUUCCAAAAUCCAACUUGACACAAUGAAUAUUAAAAAAAAAAUUAAGUCAUAUUAACCCUAAUAAAUAGUCUAAUCAAGAAAAAAGAGUCAGUCACUACUAUUCUACAAUCUACAUCAAAGUAUAAAAAAAUAGAUUUCUUCCUUCUUUUGUGCAUAAAAUACUACAUCAAACAAAUUUCUAUUUUCUACAUCAAAUAAAACUUUAUCAAAAUAACAAAAUUUAUCGAUUAUCAUAGAUACUAGAUUAUCAGAUUAUCACAAAUUCACAAUCAUAGAUAAUCAGCAAUGUAUAAUGGACUGAUGGAGUUAUCGGUUAUGGUGAACAGAGAAUCAGAGGAAGAACCGAAGAAGAAUAAUAGAACAUAUCUUUUCAAAAUUCAACCUUUCAAGUUUCAGGACAUGAAUCACCAAAUUAGUUGAGUUAAUCUUGACACUUGACGUCCUUUUCAAAAAGAAGAAUCAAUCAAUUUAUUACAAAUCGCUAGGAAGAAGAUUAGAAGAAGAAUAGAGAAUCAGAGAAGUAAUGGUUUCUACGGUUCUGAGUAGAAUCAAGAAUGAAAUCACUAAUUGUUAGUUAGAUUCAGAGGACAGAGAAAGUAGAAGUGAAGAACAGUUAUCGAGUCGUAGUUUCUGCUGAUGUGCUUGAAUGAAGAAUCCGAAAAAACAAUCAACUAAUUUAAUUUUCCGUUAAGGGGGGCCUAUAACAAUAAGGCCGACCCUAGUAAGGAGAAUCCAACCCUAAAAAAGUACCUAAGGAUGACCGCUACCAAUGAUCCAUAAAUUGAUAUGCAAACAAGCUUCAAUGAAGAUGUUUACUGGAAGAAGUAGAAGCAUGUACUAGGUAUGAGGCUUGAAAGUCCCAAACAGUUAAAACAUAUGGUUUUCAAUUCUGCAGGUGCUAAUGGGUAUCGAUUAUAUUAUAAAAAAAAAUAAUAGUAGGAGAUUAAAAAAAAUAAUAAUAGGAGAUUACUGGUCAAAUGUUGUUUCGGAAAGUGCACUUUUAUGCUUUGGGGUUCAUGGAUGAGUGAAGAAAAUUCAUUCCAAAUCAAAUCUCUUAUUAAUGAUCAUAAUUAUGCUAUAAAUUUUAAGUUAGAAUUAAUUGUUAACUAUGAUUGGAUUUGUAGCCAUUACACACUUGAAUUCCUACACAAACUGAAAAUGAGUAUUAGGCAACCUAUGGAAUAGGUGAAAAAGAAAUUUGGAAUAAAUGUCAGUAUAACAUAGUGUAAGUAUGACAUAGUGUAGGAGGGACAAAACAAUUUAUCUGAAAUAUUAUGUAUCAUGACAAUUAACCUUAUAUUUUUUAUUUUANNNNNNNNNNNNNNNNNNNNNNNNNNNNNNNNNNNNNUAUAUAUAUAUAUUAAGUAACAUAUCAAAUCGAAAUAAUAAUUUUCAUAAAUCACAUCAAUUGACAAAUAAUUUAGUUUCAUCUACAACCAUAAAUAACUUGGUUUUUUCUAUGGAUAAUGACUUAAAUGAGUAAAAUACUUUGUUUUGAUGUUCAUAUUUAGCCAAUAAUAUUUUUUGUACACAUUUUACCAUUGAAGUUGUUUCAAAUGCACCUAAAAAGAUAAUACUAUCUAUUGUUAUAAGUAAUAUUAUAUUUUCUUAAAUAUGUGGAAUAAUUUCAAUGGUCAAAUGUAUAUAAAAAAUGAUCACACAUAUCCCCACAUCCACACUCAUCCCUAGCUAUCACUAUCUUGGCCCCUUGUUGUAUAUCGAAUCCCUUCUUAUGCCAAGUACUUAAUACAAAGAUCUUUAUUAAUAUUGACUUUUAAACUCAUAAUCGUUUCUACCGAGUGUAGUUAAUUGAGUCAAAUAGAAAUAAUUUAUAGGACUAUGCCUAUAUAAAGGGAUUGACUUGAAGGUGAUCUCAUUAUCGUAAAAGGAAACAUGACCACAAACAUUCUUGGAUGGUGGUUCGUGCCAAUGAUCAUGGGUGUGGUCAUGGUGCUGCUAGAGGGUCGACGAUGAAACUUUAUAUGAAACUGUGUCAUUUGGUUUCGAUUGAAACUUGAAAGUACACUGAUAAAAGUGAAAGAAUCGCAACAAUGGUGGUAAGUUUUUUUCUAACUGCAUGUGAGUUCUUGAGUAGAAAUUACAUGAAAAACCGUGCGUUUGACUGUUUCUUAUUUCUAAAAUAACCAAAAUAAUAAUAAUAAUAAUAAAUGGAAAAAAAAAAAGAAAUGAGUAAACCGUCUUCCAAAUCUAUAAUAAAAGUAAACCAAAAGGACCGUAUCGAUAAUUUUUAAAACCGAUUGGACUGUACCAAGCAUAUUAGCAAACUACAUGGACCAAAUUUACAAUCUUCUCUAAUAUAAAAGAAGUAUAAAAGAAGUAAAAUCACAUACGUGUUUGAAAAUGGGGCCGUUGACCAGAAUCACAAUAAGUUUGAAUGCAGCAAGUUUUAAUUUUGACUUUCAUGAUCCAGUGUUCUAACAGGAAACAAACGUCUCUCCAGUUACAGACAUGGAAAUGGAAUGGAUGAAGAAGAUGGGUGAAAUAACUCACCAUACAAUCAAAACCAACGGAAUAUCGAUGCAUGUUGCAGAAAAAGGCAACGGACCUGUAGUGCUCCUCCUCCAUGGCUUCCCGGAGCUCUGGUUUUCAUGGCACCAUCAGAUCACUUACUUAACUAACCACGGUUACCGUGUCCUCGCACCUGACCUCCGCGGCUAUGGCGAUUCCGACUCCCCAUCGUCUCCCUCUUCCUACACCUUCUUCCACAUAGUCGGUGAUCUCAUUGGCGUUCUAGAUCACUUCAAUCAACAACAGGUAUGUCAUUUGUGUGCUUUAAUGGCGAUGAAGCUUUAAUUAGCAUUAGGGUUGAUUUUGUGUACGCAUGAAUAUCAGGUGUUUGUGGUGGGACACGAUUGGGGCGCACACGCCGC
RNAcentral lists this long non-coding RNA (6562 nucleotides) under Lactuca sativa (garden lettuce). RNAcentral's name for it is "long non-coding RNA (LSAT_LNC002490)". Lineage: Eukaryota; Viridiplantae; Streptophyta; Magnoliopsida; Asterales; Asteraceae. The record is from RNAcentral.